AGUGGACGCUGGCGGUAGGCCUAACACAUGCAAGUCGAACGGCAGCACAGUAAGAGCUUGCUCUUACGGGUGGCGAGUGGCGGACGGGUGAGGAAUACAUCGGAAUCUACUUUUUCGUGGGGGAUAACGUAGGGAAACUUACGCUAAUACCGCAUACGACCUACGGGUGAAAGCAGGGGAUCUUCGGACCUUGCGCGAUUGAAUGAGCCGAUGUCGGAUUAGCUAGUUGGCGGGGUAAAGGCCCACCAAGGCGACGAUCCGUAGCUGGUCUGAGAGGAUGAUCGGCCACACUGAACCGGAGACACGGUCCAGACUCCUACGGGAGGCAGAAGGGGGGAAUAUUGGACAAGGGGCGCAAGCCUGGCCCAGCCAUACCGCGUGGGUGAAGAAGGCCUUCGGGUUGUAAAGCCCUUUUGUUGGGAAAGAAAAGCAGCAGGUUAAUACCCCGCUGUUCUGACGGUACCAAAAGAAUAAGCACCGGCUAACUUCGU
This 491-nucleotide ribosomal RNA is filed under the name uncultured bacterium. Its description in RNAcentral is "partial 16S ribosomal RNA". It matches the Rfam family "Bacterial small subunit ribosomal RNA", at positions 29 to 506 of the family's 1533-position model. The record is from RNAcentral.